This 323-nucleotide small nuclear RNA is filed under the name Octodon degus (degu). RNAcentral describes it as "7SK RNA (ENSODEG00000024533.1)". It matches the Rfam family "7SK RNA". From Rfam's summary of the family: 7SK was discovered as an abundant small nuclear RNA in the mid-70s but a possible function has only recently been suggested. Two independent studies have found that 7SK RNA binds the CDK9/cyclin T complex (known as elongation factor P-TEFb). P-TEFb activates transcription by phosphorylating the C-terminal domain of RNA polymerase II. The record is from Rfam by way of RNAcentral. Lineage: Eukaryota; Metazoa; Chordata; Mammalia; Rodentia; Octodontidae.
GGAUGUGAGGGCGAGCUGGCUGCGACAUCUGUCACCCCAUUGAUCGCCAGGGUUGGUUCGGCUGAUCUGGCUGGCUAGGCGGGUGUGCCCUUCCUCCCUCAGUGAUCCAUGUGCGUCCCUCCCGAAGCUGUGCGCUCAGUUGAAGAGGACCACCACCCCCGAUAGAGGAGGACCGUUCCUCGGUCAAGGGUACACAAGUAGCUGCGCUCCCCUGCUAGAACCUCCAAACAAGCUCUCAAGCAAAACUACUUAAGGCUAUUCAUUGCAAAAAUAAAUUGUGUACCUACUAAAUAAAACACCAAGGUACUGCAACCUAUUUUUUU